RNAcentral lists this ribosomal RNA (254 nucleotides) under uncultured bacterium. Its description in RNAcentral is "partial 16S ribosomal RNA". It matches the Rfam family "Bacterial small subunit ribosomal RNA", at positions 524 to 777 of the family's 1533-position model. The record is from RNAcentral.
UACGUAGGGUGCGAGCGUUAAUCGGAAUUACUGGGCGUAAAGCGUGCGCAGGCGGCGCGUUAAGACAGGUGUGAAGCCCCGAGCUUAACUUGGGAAUUGCGCUUGUGACUGGCGUGCUUGGAGUGUGGCAGGAGGGAGGUGGAAUUCCACGUGUAGCAGUGAAAUGCGUAGAGAUGUGGAGGACACCGAUGGCGAAGGCAGCCUCCUGGGCCAGCACUGACGCUCAUGCACGAAAGCGUGGGGAGCAAACAUGG